This is a non-coding RNA of Pholiota molesta, 81 nucleotides long. The record is from the annotation of a GenBank genome assembly. Lineage: Eukaryota; Fungi; Basidiomycota; Agaricomycetes; Agaricales; Strophariaceae.
GGGCACUUGGCACAGUGGUAGCGCGCUUGCUUCGCAUUGGGUGAUUGCAUGAGGUCGUGAGUUCAAUCCUCACAGUGUCCA